CAAGUCGAGGGGCAGCGGGGUGUAGCAAUACAUCGCCGGCGACCGGCGCACGGGUGCGUAACACGUAUGGAAUCUGCCCUUUACUGGGGGAUAGCCCGGAGAAAUCCGGAUUAAUACCCCAUAACAAUCGAGGUGGCAUCACCUUGAUUUGAAAGCUCCGGCGGUAAAGGAUGACCAUGCGCACGAUUAGCUAGUUGGUGAGGUAACGGCUCACCAAGGCUACGAUCGUUAGGGGGCCUGAGAGGGUUAUCCCCCACACUGGUACUGAGACACGGACCAGACUCCUACGGGAGGCAGCAGUGAGGAAUAUUGCGCAAUGGAGGCAACUCUGACGCAGCCAUGCCGCGUGCAGGAAGAAGGCGCUACGCGUUGUAAACUGCUUUUAACCGGGAAGAAACCCCAGGACGUGUCCUGGGUUGACGGUACCGGAGGAAUAAGCACCGGCUAACUUCGUGCCAGCAGCCGCGGUAAUACGAAGGGUGCAAGCGUUAUCCGGAUUCAUUGGGUUUAAAGGGUGCGUAGGCGGAGCGUUAAGUCAGUGGUGAAAUCCUGCAGCUUAACUGUAGACCUGCCAUUGAUACUGGCGCUCUUGAGUGCGCUUGAAGUAGGCGGAAUGUGUCGUGUAGCGGUGAAAUGCUUAGAUAUGACACAGAACACCGAUUGCGAAGGCAGCUUACUAAGGCGAUACUGACGCUGAGGCACGAAAGCGUGGGGAUCGAACAGGAUUAGAUACCCUGGUAGUCCACGCCGUAAACGAUGAUCACUCGUCAUUGGCGAUAUACGGUCAGUGACCUAGCGAAAGCGUUAAGUGAUCCACCUGGGGAGUACGAUCGCAAGAUUGAAACUCAAAGGAAUUGACGG
RNAcentral lists this ribosomal RNA (861 nucleotides) under uncultured bacterium. RNAcentral describes it as "bacterial SSU rRNA". It matches the Rfam family "Bacterial small subunit ribosomal RNA", at positions 58 to 916 of the family's 1533-position model. The record is from RNAcentral.